This 114-nucleotide small RNA is filed under the name Pseudomonas sp. StFLB209. Lineage: Bacteria; Pseudomonadati; Pseudomonadota; Gammaproteobacteria; Pseudomonadales; Pseudomonadaceae. The record is from RNAcentral.
AUCCACUGACGAGCAGGACGCUGGUCAGGAUCAAGGACGAUCAGCCAUUGCCCGGAUGCUACUGACAGGGAGUUGGAAUGGUUUUGGACACAAACCCGCUUCGGCGGGUUUUUU